CCUACGGGAGGCUGCAGUGAGGAAUAUUGGUCAAUGGCCGGAAGGCUGAACCAGCCAUGCCGCGUGAAGGUCAGUGCCCUUUGGGCGUUAAACUUCUUUUGUGCGGGAGCAAUAAUGGUCACGUGUGGCCAGACGAGAGUACCGUACGAAUAAGCAUCGGCUAACUCCGUGCCAGCCGCCGCGGUAAUACGGGGGAUGCAAGCGUUAAUCGGAAUUACUGGGGGUAAAGCGCCCGUAGGCGGUAUGUCAAGUCAAGGGUGAAAGCCCCGCGCUCAACGUGGGAACGGCCUAUGAAACUGGCAAACUGGAGUGUGUGAGAGGAUAGUGGAAUUCCAGGUGUAGGAGUGAAAUCCGUAGAUAUCUGGAGGAACAUCAGUGGCGAAGGCGACUAUCUGGCACAUAACUGACGCUGAGGAGCGAAAGCGAGGGUAGCAAACAGGAUUAGAUACCCGAAUAGUC
RNAcentral lists this ribosomal RNA (459 nucleotides) under uncultured bacterium. RNAcentral describes it as "partial 16S ribosomal RNA". It matches the Rfam family "Bacterial small subunit ribosomal RNA", at positions 338 to 795 of the family's 1533-position model. The record is from RNAcentral.